This 1218-nucleotide long non-coding RNA is filed under the name Homo sapiens (human). Its description in RNAcentral is "HSALNT0185321". The record is from RNAcentral. Lineage: Eukaryota; Metazoa; Chordata; Mammalia; Primates; Hominidae.
UGGGCUUAAGUGAUCCUCCCACUUCAGCCCCCAAGUUUCUGAGACUACAGAGACAGCUGCCUUCAAACUCCUGGCCUCAAGUAAUCCUCCCACCUCAACCUCCCAAAGUGCUAGGAAUACAGAUGUGAGCCACCACACCCAGGCAAGAUUCUUAAAUAGAAUAAUAAAAUCACUCACUUGAACUAUAUUAAAAUUAAGAACUUUUGUUCACCAAAAGACAUUAUUGAAAGAGUGAGAAGGCAACCCAUAGACUGAAGAAGAUAUUUGCGGUACUGAAGUUUAUUCUGAACUUUUUGCAAGUCUGAAAAUCUCACAAAGUCCUCUGAUCUAGACAUAUAAAGAAUUUCACAAGCCAGCAAUCCCAUUACUGGAUAUAUACCCAGAGGAAUAUAAAUCAUUCUACCAUAAAGACACAUGCAUGCAAAUGUUCAUUGCAGCACUAUUCACAAUAGCAAAGAUAUGGAAUCAACCUAAAUGUCCAUCAAUGAGAGAUUGGAUAAAGAAAAUGUGGUACAUAUAAACCACGGAAUACUAUGCAGCCAUAAAAAGGAAUGAGACCAUGUUUUUCAUGGGAACAUGGAUGAAGCUGGAGGCCAUUAUACUCAGCAAACUAAUGCAGAAACAGAAAACCAAAUCCCACCAGCCUGGCCAACAUAGUGAAACCUCGUCUCUACUAAAAAUACAAAAAUUAGCCAGGCAUGGUGGUGCAUGGGCACGGUGGCACAUGCCUGUUGUCCCAGCUACUUGGCAGCCUGAGACAGGAGAAUCACUUGAACCCAAGAAGUGGAGGUUGCAGUGAGCCAAGAUCGCGCUACUACACUCCAGCUUGGGCAACAGAGUGAGACUUCGUCUUAAAAAAAGAAAAAAAAGAAAAAGAAAACCAAUUCCCACACAUUCUCAUUUAUAAGUGGGAGCUAAAUGGUAAGAACUUAUGAACACAAAGAAGGGAAAAACAGACACUGGAGUCUACUCGACGGAGGAUAGUAGGAGGAGGGAGAGGAGCAGAAAAGAUAACUAUUGGGUACUGGGCUUAAUACCUAGGUGAUGAAAUAAUCUGUACAACCAACCCCCGCGACACGUGUUUACCUAUGUAACAAACCUGCACAGGUAGCCCCAAACCUCAAAUAAAAGUUAAAAAAAAGGAAAAUAGUUAAAAAAAAACAAAACAAAAAAAAACAAAAAAUAAAAAAAAGAAUUUCAAAAGAAAGUCAAUCCAGA